GGCGAACUUUGGCGGCGUGCUUAACACAUGCAAGUCGAACGGAAAGGCCCUGCUUUUGUGGGGUGCUCGAGUGGCGAACGGGUGAGUAACACGUGAGUAACCUGCCCUUGACUUUGGGAUAACUUCAGGAAACUGGGGCUAAUACCGGAUAGGAGCUCCUGCUGCAUGGUGGGGGUUGGAAAGUUUCGGCGGUUGGGGAUGGACUCGCGGCUUAUCAGCUUGUUGGUGGGGUAGUGGCUUACCAAGGCUUUGACGGGUAGCCGGCCUGAGAGGGUGACCGGCCACAUUGGGACUGAGAUACGGCCCAGACUCCUACGGGAGGCAGCAGUGGGGAAUAUUGCACAAUGGGCGGAAGCCUGAUGCAGCAACGCCGCGUGCGGGAUGACGGCCUUCGGGUUGUAAACCGCUUUCGCCUGUGACGAAGCGUGAGUGACGGUAAUGGGUAAAGAAGCACCGGCUAACUACGUGCCAGCAGCCGCGGUGAUACGUAGGGUGCGAGCGUUGUCCGGAUUUAUUGGGCGUAAAGGGCUCGUAGGUGGUUGAUCGCGUCGGAAGUGUAAUCUUGGGGCUUAACCCUGAGCGUGCUUUCGAUACGGGUUGACUUGAGGAAGGUAGGGGAGAAUGGAAUUCCUGGUGGAGCGGUGGAAUGCGCAGAUAUCAGGAGGAACACCAGUGGCGAAGGCGGUUCUCUGGGCCUUUCCUGACGCUGAGGAGCGAAAGCGUGGGGAGCGAACAGGCUUAGAUACCCUGGUAGUCCACGCUGUAAACGGUGGGUACUAGGUGUGGGGUCCAUUCCACGGGUUCCGUGCCGUAGCUAACGCUUUAAGUACCCCGCCUGGGGAGUACGGCCGCAAGGCUAAAACUCAAAGGAAUUGACGGGGCCCCGCACAAGCGGCGGAGCAUGCGGAUUAAUUCGAUGCAACGCGUAGAACCUUACCUGGGUUUGACAUGGAUCGGGAGUGCUCAGAGAUGGGUGUGCCUCUUUUGGGGUCGGUUCACAGGUGGUGCAUGGCUGUCGUCAGCUCGUGUCGUGAGAUGUUGGGUUAAGUCCCGCAACGAGCGCAACCCUUGUUCACUGUUGCCAGCACGUUAUGGUGGGGACUCAGUGGAGACCGCCGGGGUCAACUCGGAGGAAGGUGGGGAUGACGUCAAGUCAUCAUGCCCCUUAUGUCCAGGGCUUCACGCAUGCUACAAUGGCUGGUACAGAGAGUGGCGAGCCUGUGAGGGUGAGCGAAUCUCGGAAAGCCGGUCUCAGUUCGGAUUGGGGUCUGCAACUCGACCUCAUGAAGUCGGAGUCGCUAGUAAUCGCAGAUCAGCAACGCUGCGGUGAAUACGUUCCCGGGGCU
RNAcentral lists this ribosomal RNA (1346 nucleotides) under uncultured bacterium. RNAcentral describes it as "partial 16S ribosomal RNA". It matches the Rfam family "Bacterial small subunit ribosomal RNA", at positions 28 to 1381 of the family's 1533-position model. The record is from RNAcentral.